RNAcentral lists this long non-coding RNA (918 nucleotides) under Helianthus annuus (common sunflower). Lineage: Eukaryota; Viridiplantae; Streptophyta; Magnoliopsida; Asterales; Asteraceae. The record is from RNAcentral.
CCCUUACUGUCAUUUGCUCAACCAAAACCCUAGCCUCCAUUCCCCUUCUACUCGCAGCCAUUCAGUUCAGCCACAGACGCAACAAACCCCUCCAGCCGCACCACUCCGGCCUCCGCCACAAACCCGCCACCGUCUCCAUGUCUCUGUCAUCUCCUCCGCCACAAACCCCCACCCUCCGUCGGCAUCUUCGUCAGCGACGACAUCUUUUCCGUGCACAAAUGAGGAGGAAAUUGUUGCUGUGAUUGCUCAUGAACUCGGUCACUGGAAACGGAAUCACACAAUAUACUCCUCUGUUGGUGUUUAGGUGUACACCAUACACUUCAAUUUAUAAUAGUAUGAAUCAACAUGUGUGAUUUAAGUCUGUAUUUGGGAUGUGUACAUCUACUUGAUGUAUCCUGAGUUGUUGACCCGAAAUACUGUGGGUACGUGAACUAUGAUCUUGACAAAGAACAAACUGAUACAUCACAACUGAAGUUAAAUGGACACGUGGAAUUGGUAUUACGGCAGAGAUGCUUGGUUAGCUCACCAAUGGCCUUGAAUUCGCUUGGAACAAACUCAAGGGCGAAGUUGGUAUACCUGAUGCUCCGGUCAAUGUUGGUGACAAGACAAACAAAGAUAAAAGAAGUUACGAAGAUUAUCAAGUUAUAUUUGAAGGAAAAAAUCUUAGUUCCAGUUGGUCCUAGCUUAGGGGCUCGGUAUCGAUUUCGAGAUAAAUCGUGACUUUAAGUUAAAAUUAUUGUUAUCACUUUGACACCAUUGGUGGUGACUGAACAGAGGGUUUGUGAUUUAUAUAUUUUUUAGCUUAAAAUAUCCAAAUUUUAAUAAAAUUGCUUGGAAAGAUGUGGUUAUAGAACCACAUCUCUUGGACUAGCAUCUUUUGGUUUGAUUUGAAUGUGUAUUGCUUUGGUUUGAUUUGAA